AAGGGAGACCUAAUUCAGGUAUGGGACGAAAAAAAAGUAGUCCCAACCAAGAAUCAAUCCCAAGAGGUCGGAGCGAGGCGAAAUUGGCUUUCAAACUAGGUUCUGGGUUCAAACAAGACCUGAAUCAGGAACAAGGGCUAUUAGCUCAGGUGGUUAGAGCGCACCCCUGAUAAGGGUGAGGUCCCUGGUUCGAGUCCAGGAUGGCCCACCUGCACAGGUGGCAAAAACAAGAGAAGCGAGGAAUCAGCACCUUAUCUUACUGACAUAGCAAGAGAGAAUGCUGGCUCUGAGUAAAGAGUCCAGAGGAACCUUGAAAACUGCAUAGAGCUAGGUGAAAAAGCCAAAAAAGAAGACCGCAAGGUCAAGCUAAUAAGGGCUAACGGUGGAUACCUAGGCAC
This 398-nucleotide transfer RNA is filed under the name uncultured Microcystis sp. Its description in RNAcentral is "partial contains 16S-23S ribosomal RNA intergenic spacer, and 23S ribosomal RNA". The stretch from base 135 to 208 matches the Rfam family "tRNA". The record is from RNAcentral. Lineage: Bacteria; Bacillati; Cyanobacteriota; Cyanophyceae; Chroococcales; Microcystaceae.